CCCCAUAGAUAGGAAAUAAACUUCAUUUUUGCACAGAGGGAGCUGAAGAUGGAAGGCUGUCCCUCUGGCUCCAUAACAGCGUCUUUGUGAGUUGUGCUGAGCAACAUUUUGAUGUAUUGA
Molecule: long non-coding RNA, 120 nt
Organism: Gavialis gangeticus (Gharial)
Lineage: Eukaryota; Metazoa; Chordata; Crocodylia; Gavialidae
Exons: 3
Source: RefSeq, a predicted model, not a curated record